UUCAUAAUACUUUUCAUUCUUCGUAAUAGUCCAUUUAUAGGACAAUUCAUAGCCCAUGAACUCACCCACUAAACCCCACUAAAUAAAUGCAUUAACGUGACAUUAAAAAUGAACUAACAGCCUAUUUCUAUGGAAAUGAUUAACUAAAAUUGAACUACCCACUAACUAAUUAAUUUGACUAAUUAUUUCUACUAAUUUAAUAAUUAUACGUAUCAU
This 216-nucleotide long non-coding RNA is filed under the name Erythranthe guttata (spotted monkey flower). RNAcentral describes it as "long non-coding RNA (EGUT_LNC001338)". The record is from RNAcentral. Lineage: Eukaryota; Viridiplantae; Streptophyta; Magnoliopsida; Lamiales; Phrymaceae.